UGGGGAUCGGGAAGCAGGGGCGUGCGGGGUGUCUGGGUGCUUAGUAAUGCAUGGGGUUUUUAUAAAAAAAAACGUUUUUUUAACUUAGAAAGGACCGCGGGUUGAUUUCAAAGAAAUAAAGAAGUCUUUUUUUGCGAAAAUGACAUCGACGGAAGGGUAGAAGUUAUCCGUGCUUUAUUAGUAGGUAUAGAAAAAUAAAGCAAAAAACAAGAACAAAAAAA
RNAcentral lists this long non-coding RNA (221 nucleotides) under Hordeum vulgare. Its description in RNAcentral is "long non-coding RNA (HVUL_LNC013935)". Lineage: Eukaryota; Viridiplantae; Streptophyta; Magnoliopsida; Poales; Poaceae. The record is from RNAcentral.